GCAGAUUAUGAAGCAUGCCAUGAAAUAUCAAGCUAUAACUUCCCGAAUUUUCAAUGACAUUCAAACUUUUAAUUUUAAUUUGAGUAAACGCUGUGAAAAUUAAAGCAAAUUUUCAUAUAGCAUGGUGAUGGGUAUAUGCUCAUCAGAUUUUGACGCGUCCGUUUCGGACAGAGCGAGUUCCACAAGAAUCGUUGCAAACAAUGCUCGUGCACGUCGAUUCGCACGAUUCAGGAGCCGAGACAGUAUCGAUGAUGAUAAUGUUGAAACCACAGCGUCGGAAUCAUCAAGAACAAGAACUUUUGAAUAUUCAAAUUUUAGCGGAGGAGAAAGGCCAAAAGUGCGAAACAGAAAUCGUCACUUCAAUCGAUACCACCCAUUUGGAUCUGUUCGACAAAAUCACCAAAAUACACCGGCCCACUUAAUCCUUAGGAAGCCGUUUCAGCGAUUAGUUCGCGAAAUAGCUCAACCAAUGGGAGCGGAAUUCCGUUUCCAGAGUAAAGCUAUGAGAGGAUUGCAUGAAACUACUGAAACAUUUUUGAUUCAAUUAUUCGAAGAUACAAAUUUGUGUGCUCUACACGCAAACCGUUCGACUGUUAAGCCUGAUGAUCUUACGCUAGCCUUGCACAUACGAGAAGAACAACGCUAUUUGAGAGCAUCGGAACCUGAUGAGGAUGAGUGUUGAAACUUUUCUAAGAAUCAUGGUAGUGAAGAAAUAUGAUACUGUGAUGAGUUGUAGACAGAUCAGUAGUAAUUGAAAAAUUGAAAAAUAAAUUAUUGAAAUAUA
This is a long non-coding RNA of Aedes aegypti (yellow fever mosquito), 784 nucleotides long. RefSeq lists it as uncharacterized. NCBI's taxonomy places the organism in Eukaryota, Metazoa, Arthropoda, Insecta, Diptera, Culicidae. The transcript has 2 exons. The record is from RefSeq and is a predicted model, not a curated record.